Molecule: transfer RNA, 86 nt
Filed under: Candidatus Gottesmanbacteria bacterium
Lineage: Bacteria; Candidatus Gottesmaniibacteriota
Description: tRNA-Leu
Rfam family: tRNA
About the family: Transfer RNA (tRNA) molecules are approximately 80 nucleotides in length. Their secondary structure includes four short double-helical elements and three loops (D, anti-codon, and T loops).
Source: RNAcentral
GCCAAAGUGCUGGAAUUGGUAGACAGGCGAGUCUCAAAAACUCGUGGUAUGCAAGUACCGUGUGGGUUCGAGUCCCACCUUUGGCA